Molecule: long non-coding RNA, 1449 nt
Filed under: Homo sapiens (human)
Lineage: Eukaryota; Metazoa; Chordata; Mammalia; Primates; Hominidae
Description: HSALNT0279155
Source: RNAcentral
AAAAAGUCUUUCUGUACACAGUGAACUGUACCAAACUGGACGUGUAAAUAGUCUGUAACCUACUCUUGUGCCAGUCAUCGAGUUUUCCCUGAUCAAGUAAGACAGACCCUAAGCUGGAGCCAAGUGGCUGCUUCUGGACUGCGCUCUGUCUUCCAGCUGUGAGCUUGGAUGCCGGUGUCAUGAAGUUAAAGCACAAAGCUUCUGAGUCCCCGUCUGGAGGACAGCUGCCCCGGCAUGCUGCCCAGCUGGCUCUGACAGUGUGAGGAUAGACUCUCACUGACCCUGCGCUUGAGCUGGACAAGCCUGUGACUCCCUUCCAGCAACAGAAUGUGGCCCCCAUGCUGCGUAGUACAGAAUCUUCCAGGCCUCUGUCCUGGCACCCCUGCUGCCUGAAGCACCUUCCCCGAGGAAGAAGCCACCGGUUUGGAGCGGAAGAGGCCAGCCAAGGGGCCGGGGCCUGGGAACGGUGGGUGGCUGUGCUGAAAACCAUCUGAAUCAAUUCAAGUUGAACUUGAACUGCAUUUUAUUCCACUGACAUCAGAAUUGGAUCUCCUCUGGGGUUGUGGGAAGGAUUCAAUAUUUAGAGACAUUAAUUACUUCAGCACCACAUUCUGCCUACUGUACGGUACACAUGGGGGACAGGACUCAAAUUAAACUGGUCCCUGCUCCUGGGGAAGCCACAUUCAAAGAGGAGACAAUUGUGAAUGAAGCUGCCUGGAACAUAAUGGGGCCGUCUGCAGGGGAAGGCAGGACUAGCUCAACCCUAGGUAAUUAAAGGUCUCUGUGAGAUGGGUCUUGAGGGUUGAGUAGGAGCUUAAAAAGCAGUUUGAAGGGAUGAGUCUUUCCAGGAAGCAGGAAUGACCUGUGCGACCCUGAGGGGGUGCAAAGGACAGAGUGUGCUGGAGAAGGGAAGGAGUGCUUUGUCCUUCGUCCUGCCUGGUGGGGCAGGGCCUCCGGGGUACAGACCCCACCACUCGCGUGCACCAGGGGUGACAGCCAGCUCCAUGCAGAUGGCCUCCAAAGCGGUCGCUCCUGGGCUUAGCUUCCCUGAAAUUAGAAGCAGACGCCUGUGCACGUGUAUUAUCAGCUUUCGAACAUUGAAGGAAACAGCUCUUUUGCAAUAACUGGAUUCAUCAUGAUACAGAUUUUCCCUGUGACCUCUUUAUUACUUUUACGCACCACCUUGUAUUAAAAAAAAAAAAAAGAAAAAGUCUCAGCCUUCUACUCCCUGCAGCCUGGUUGACUCAGAUUUCUUUCACUGUUUCUCCUGUACAAACAGGCAAGGGAAUGAACCUCCCCUGCCACGGUUUCCAAGCAUAUUAAAAUAUGGUCACCCCUGCAGAACUCCUAAUGUUCUUGUUUAAUGUGUCAGAAAAGCAAAUGGAAUUUUAUUUUGCUUUGGCACCAGUGGAGAAGAAUAAUCGUGUCCUCAUCAGGAGGGCUGGAAGC